CCUCUGAUCAAGAUGUCUUUCUCUGGACCCAGGACAUUGUGACAGUGGCUGAGGGGCACGCUUUGAAGGUUGUGCUGGAAACAAAGAAAGCCAAUCUUUCUAUUUCAAUCAGGUCUAACUGUGGCAGGAUCCAAAGAGCCUGAAAGCUUCCCAUACCUCCACCCUCAGCAGACUUCAGCUCCUUGGCCUCCUGGAUUUGAGCAACAAGACUUUGGAGCCUUUGUGACGCAGCCGUUCUGCGCUCCUCCAAAACACUCCUUUGUUCUCUUGAAGGUAGAACAUCUUGUCAGUUUCCUCCUGGGCUUUUCAUGCGGCACACAGCACUUCCAGUUAGCUGUGCAGAGCUGCCUGCUCAGCCCGCUUUUCUGACACAUCCUGUUCCUCUGCAGAAGUCUGCCUACUUGUUGCAGGGCUUCUACUAUCUCCUCAUUCCCCGUGAUCAGCUCCAUUCUCUGCUGAAGUUCUCUCCUACUGCAGAUGAGACCAGAGUAAAACCCACAUGAGGUCCAUGUACCGCUGAUCACACAAUAAAUCAGGUCACAGAAAAGGCCUGAAGCCUUGUAAUGUGUAGCCUGCUGCAUGUCUUCAUUACUUUGCUUGUCCGUUUAGCUAACCUUUGAUAAA
Fundulus heteroclitus (mummichog) is the source of this 624-nucleotide long non-coding RNA. RefSeq lists it as uncharacterized. The transcript is spliced from 2 exons. Lineage: Eukaryota; Metazoa; Chordata; Actinopteri; Cyprinodontiformes; Fundulidae. The record is from RefSeq and is a predicted model, not a curated record.